Molecule: ribosomal RNA, 119 nt
Filed under: Pteropus alecto (black flying fox)
Lineage: Eukaryota; Metazoa; Chordata; Mammalia; Chiroptera; Pteropodidae
Source: RNAcentral
GUCUAUGGCCAUGCCACCCUGCACAAGCCUGAUCCUGUCUGAUCUCAGAAGCUAAGCAGGGUCGGGCCUGGUUAGUACUUGGAUGGGAGACCACCUAGAAAGACCAGGUGCCGUAGGCG